GUUAUUUGUACAACAAGAGAGCAAAGGUUGAUAUUUCUUCGAGUGCUUAUUUUGAUCCAAUCUUGAGCGUAGCAAGGGACUCAAAAGCGCACGAGAUGUAAAUAACUUAUAUCUCGUGUAGUACACAAGAUUUUUCACCUCAGCAGUGAGAACAUAUUUGGAAGGAAAAAUACAA
Cydia strobilella is the source of this 175-nucleotide long non-coding RNA. RefSeq lists it as uncharacterized. The transcript is spliced from 2 exons. The record is from RefSeq and is a predicted model, not a curated record. NCBI's taxonomy places the organism in Eukaryota, Metazoa, Arthropoda, Insecta, Lepidoptera, Tortricidae.